UACGUAGGGUGCAAGCGUUAAUCGGAAUUACUGGGCGUAAAGCGUGCGCAGGCGGUUUUGUAAGUCUGUCGUGAAAGCCCCGGGCUCAACCUGGGAAUUGCGAUGGAGACUGCAAGGCUUGAAUCUGGCAGAGGGGGGUAGAGUUCCACGUGUAGCAGUGAAAUGCGUAGAGAUGUGGAGGAACACCGAUGGCGAAGGCAGCCCCCUGGGUCAAGAUUGACGCUCAUGCACGAAAGCGUGGGGAGCAAACAGG
This 253-nucleotide ribosomal RNA is filed under the name uncultured bacterium. RNAcentral describes it as "partial 16S ribosomal RNA". It matches the Rfam family "Bacterial small subunit ribosomal RNA", at positions 524 to 776 of the family's 1533-position model. The record is from RNAcentral.